Molecule: long non-coding RNA, 486 nt
Filed under: Daucus carota (carrot)
Lineage: Eukaryota; Viridiplantae; Streptophyta; Magnoliopsida; Apiales; Apiaceae
Description: long non-coding RNA (DCAR_LNC005186)
Source: RNAcentral
UUUUUUUUUGAUAAAAAGGAAUCAAUUCAUUAAUCAAAAGCCAUACGGCAUCUACAAAUAUAAUCGAAAUUGGACAGACGCUGAAGAAUAUCGCUGUUGAAUCCUUCCUUCUUGGAGGGGCAACUGAGCGAUUUGAAGAUGAUGAAUAUAUACACUUGUUUCAUUGUUUCCAUCUGAUUGGUUUUCACCUGACUGUUCUGAACAAUCGACCAUAAAUGCGAUUCCAUAAUAACCUUCAAGCCUGAAUCAAACCCAUAAAAAUCAUGCCGAUCUAUGACCUCGGUCAUGAAGAACACCAAAACACACCAAAACAAAACAACUCAACUCUCACAAGAAGGAGAGACUAACAAAACCCAAAUAAAUUGGGAACUUAUUGAAUGGAAAAUACGAUUGCAAAACAGGAAAAUAGAAAAAAGGAAUUGGGGCUUUCCACCGGUGAAAGCCGAUGGAAGCCCCCUCGAAAAUCUUUAAUGGAGGCUAGGGUUU